CGGUCCUGAGUAGAGUGGCGCACGGGUGAGUAACGCGUAGAUAAUCUGUCCUUGUGUCUGGAAUAAUACGUCGAAAGGUGUACUAAUACCGGAUAUUCUUGCUUUUUAUAGGGAGAGUAAGCAAAGGUGGCCUCUGACAUAAGCUACUGCACAAGGAGGAGUCUGCGUACCAUUAGCUAGUAGGUGGGGUAAUGGCCCACCUAGGCGACGAUGGUUAACGGGUCUGAGAGGAUGAUCCGUCACACUGGCACUGGAACACGGGCCAGACUCCUACGGGAGGCAGCAGUGAGGAAUAUUGCGCAAUGGGGGCAACCCUGACGCAGCGACGCCGCGUGAGUGAGGAAGGCCUUCGGGUCGUAAAGCUCUGUCAAAGGGAAAGAAGUGUAUAACGGUUAAUACCCGUUAUAUUUGACGGUACCCUUAAAGGAAGCACCGGCUAACUCCGUGCCAGCAGCCGCGGUAA
RNAcentral lists this ribosomal RNA (463 nucleotides) under uncultured Desulfobulbus sp. RNAcentral describes it as "bacterial SSU rRNA". It matches the Rfam family "Bacterial small subunit ribosomal RNA", at positions 81 to 523 of the family's 1533-position model. Lineage: Bacteria; Pseudomonadati; Thermodesulfobacteriota; Desulfobulbia; Desulfobulbales; Desulfobulbaceae. The record is from RNAcentral.